GGAUUGAUGGUGACUAACAUAUAUACAUUUUUUUGGAAAGGUGAACAAAAUGAGUGAAAACUCAGUACCAUCGUCGUCAUCAACCUGAGGUCC
Molecule: small nucleolar RNA, 93 nt
Filed under: Callithrix jacchus (white-tufted-ear marmoset)
Lineage: Eukaryota; Metazoa; Chordata; Mammalia; Primates; Cebidae
Description: Small nucleolar RNA SNORD116 (ENSCJAG00000084739.1)
Rfam family: Small nucleolar RNA SNORD116
About the family: HBII-85 is a member of the C/D class of snoRNAs, which contain the C (UGAUGA) and D (CUGA) box motifs.
Source: Rfam by way of RNAcentral